Molecule: long non-coding RNA, 234 nt
Organism: Phyllostomus discolor (pale spear-nosed bat)
Lineage: Eukaryota; Metazoa; Chordata; Mammalia; Chiroptera; Phyllostomidae
Exons: 3
Source: RefSeq, a predicted model, not a curated record
AGGUAUUGUGAGUGAUGGAACAUGUCAAAAGUGGUUUGUGAAGUUUCAUGCUAGAGAUUUCUCGCUGGACAAUGCCCCACAUCUGGGUAGACCAGAUGAAGUUGAUAGCAAUAAAAUUGAGACAUAAAUUGAGAACAAUCAAUGUUAUACAAGGUGGGAGAUAACUGGCAUACUGAAAAUAUCCAAAUCAAUAAAGUUAUUAGUGAAAAUUAAAAAUGUAUUUUUUAUUUUAUG